AGUGAACGCUGGCGGUAGGCCUAACACGUGCAAGUCGAACGGCAGCACAGUAAGAGCUUGCUCUUACGGGUGGCGAGUGGCGGACGGGUGAGGAAUACAUCGGAAUCUACUUUUUCGUGGGGGAUAACGUAGGGAAACUUACGCUAAUACCGCAUACGACCUACGGGUGAAAGCAGGGGAUCUUCGGUCCUUGCGCGAUUGAAUGAGCCGAUGUCGGAUUAGCUAGUUGGCGGGGUAAAGGCCCACCAAGGCGACGAUCCGUAGCUGGUCUGAGAGGAUGAUCAGCCACACUGGAACUGAGACACGGUCCAGACUCCUACGGGAGGCAGCAGUGGGGAAUAUUGGACAAUGGGCGCAAGCCUGAUCCAGCCAUACCGCGUGGGUGAAGAAGGCCUUCGGGUUGUAAAGCCCUUUUGUUGGGAAAGAAAAGCAGCAGGUUAAUACCCCGCUGUUCUGACGGUACCCAAAGAAUAAGCACCGGCUAACUUCGUG
RNAcentral lists this ribosomal RNA (492 nucleotides) under uncultured bacterium. RNAcentral's name for it is "partial 16S ribosomal RNA". It matches the Rfam family "Bacterial small subunit ribosomal RNA", at positions 29 to 507 of the family's 1533-position model. The record is from RNAcentral.